RNAcentral lists this ribosomal RNA (282 nucleotides) under Enterobacter hormaechei. RNAcentral's name for it is "partial 23S ribosomal RNA". It matches the Rfam family "Bacterial large subunit ribosomal RNA", at positions 1 to 284 of the family's 2925-position model. Lineage: Bacteria; Pseudomonadati; Pseudomonadota; Gammaproteobacteria; Enterobacterales; Enterobacteriaceae. The record is from RNAcentral.
GGUUAAGCGACUAAGCGUACACGGUGGAUGCCCUGGCAGUCAGAGGCGAUGAAGGACGUGCUAAUCUGCGAAAAGCGCCGGCGAGGUGAUAUGAACCUUUGACCCGGCGAUGUCCGAAUGGGGAAACCCAGUGCAAUUCGUUGCACUAUCGUUAACUGAAUACAUAGGUUAACGAGGCGAACCGGGGGAACUGAAACAUCUAAGUACCCCGAGGAAAAGAAAUCAACCGAGAUUCCCCCAGUAGCGGCGAGCGAACGGGGAGCAGCCCGGAGUCUGAAUCAG